Molecule: ribosomal RNA, 301 nt
Filed under: uncultured bacterium
Lineage: Bacteria
Description: partial 16S ribosomal RNA
Rfam family: Bacterial small subunit ribosomal RNA
Source: RNAcentral
CAGUAGCCGCGGUAAUACGUAGGGUGCAAGCGUUAAUCGGAAUUACUGGGCGUAAAGCGUGCGCAGGCGGUGGUUUAAGUCCGUUGUGAAAGCCCUGGGCUCAACCUGGGAAUUGCAGUGGAUACUGGGUCACUAGAGUGUGGUAGAGGAUAGUGGAAUUUCCGGUGUAGCAGUGAAAUGCGUAGAGAUCGGAAGGAACAUCUGUGGCGAAGGCGACUAUCUGGGCCAACACUGACACUGAGGCACGAAAGCGUGGGGAGCAAACAGGAUUAGAGACCCGCGUAGUCCCUGUCUCUUAUAC